UAGAGUUUGAUCCUGGCUCAGAUUGAACGCUGGCGGCAGGCCUAACACAUGCAAGUCGAGCGGAUGAAGGGAGCUUGCUCCCUGAUUCAGCGGCGGACGGGUGAGUAACACGUGAGUAACCUGCCCUUGACUCUGGGAUAAGCGUUGGAAACGACGUCUAAUACCGGAUAUGACCUGUGACGGCAUCGUCUGCAGGUGGAAAGAAUUUUGGUCAAGGAUGGACUCGCGGCCUAUCAGGUAGUUGGUGAGGUAACGGCUCACCAAGCCGACGACGGGUAGCCGGCCUGAGAGGGUGACCGGCCACACUGGGACUGAGACACGGCCCAGACUCCUACGGGAGGCAGCAGUGGGGAAUAUUGCACAAUGGGCGAAAGCCUGAUGCAGCAACGCCGCGUGAGGGACGACGGCCUUCGGGUUGUAAACCUCUUUUAGUUGGGAAGAAGGGAGCUUGCUCUUGACGGUACCAGCAGAAAAAGCACCGGCUAACUACGUGCCAGCAGCCGCGGUAAUACGUAGGGUGCAAGCGUUGUCCGGAAUUAUUGGGCGUAAAGAGCUCGUAGGCGGUUUGUCGCGUCUGCUGUGAAAUCUGGGGGCUCAACCCCCAGCCUGCAGUGGGUACGGGCAGACUAGAGUGCGGUAGGGGAGAUUGGAAUUCCUGGUGUAGCGGUGGAAUGCGCAGAUAUCAGGAGGAACACCGAUGGCGAAGGCAGAUCUCUGGGCCGUUACUGACGCUGAGGAGCGAAAGCAUGGGGAGCGAAC
This 759-nucleotide ribosomal RNA is filed under the name uncultured bacterium. RNAcentral's name for it is "bacterial SSU rRNA". It matches the Rfam family "Bacterial small subunit ribosomal RNA", at positions 1 to 773 of the family's 1533-position model. The record is from RNAcentral.